RNAcentral lists this unclassified non-coding RNA (359 nucleotides) under Hevea brasiliensis (rubber tree). The record is from RNAcentral. Lineage: Eukaryota; Viridiplantae; Streptophyta; Magnoliopsida; Malpighiales; Euphorbiaceae.
CAAUUGUAGAUCUUCCAGCUAAUGUAUGGUUUAGCGUGAUGAUCUCUCUACUUGGAAACAUGAGCUGCUCUGUUAUGAAAUGUUAUGGUGGCACAGUUUUAAAGAUUUCAAACUUAUUGAUUAAUCAGUGCGUUGGCGCCAACCUUCCACAUGACGAUGUUAAGGGUGAGGAACCGCGAGGUCUGGGAUUUGUCCAUAUGAAACUCAUUACCAAUGGUUAAUGCGCUCCCAUGGUAAGGCUCCUAAUGAUAUACUGCAUCUCAUGUAUCCAUUCAAGCUACCCGGUACAGAUAAUUUUGAUUCACUUCUAUUUCCUUUGGAUCAGUUUCUUCUCCUUGUUGCUUGUUAUGUUACCCGCC